CUCCAGAGAGAGCCAUCCUGAUGGAACCUACUGACCAGGAGGACACAAAAGAAAAGAGGGAAGAGAUGAAAGAAGAGAUUUCAAAAGACUCCUCAGUAUAGUGGAGAUACAUGAGAAAGCAAGAGUGAUCAGGACAGCCACUGUUUCCCUUUGGACCAUUCCUUCUUGAGGGUAACUGAAGAUGUCAAAUGGCUCACUUCUCAUUGUGGAUCAAAGCUAGUUUUAUCAUCAUGUUGGCAUUUUAUCUUUGUUCUGAUACUGCAUUGUCUGAGUUGCCUGCUGUGUUGGCUGAGCCAAACUGUGACAUAUACAAAGACCCAGCACUUGAUUACACCAGGAAAUUUCCUUCUAUCUGUGGAUCCAAUGGUAAAACCUAUGAUAACUCAUGCAUGUUUUGCAUCACAGAAAGAGAAAGUAACGGCGAAAUUACUUAUGACCACUGGGGCCCAUGUUGA
Molecule: long non-coding RNA, 455 nt
Filed under: Papio anubis (olive baboon)
Lineage: Eukaryota; Metazoa; Chordata; Mammalia; Primates; Cercopithecidae
Description: lncRNA (ENSPANG00000047919.1)
Source: RNAcentral